UACGAAGGGGGCGAGCGUUGUUCGGAUUUACUGGGCGUAAAGGGCGCGCAGGCGGCUUAUUUUGUCAGGCGUGAAAGCCCCGGGCUUAACCUGGGAACUGCGUUUGAUACGGAUGGGCUAGAGUUCGGGAGAGGAGAGUGGAAUUCCCAGUGUAGAGGUGAAAUUCGUAGAUAAUUGGGAAGAACACCGGUGGCGAAGGCGGCUCUCUGGACCGAUACUGACGCUGAGGCGCGAAAGCGUGGGGAGCAAACAGGA
Molecule: ribosomal RNA, 255 nt
Filed under: uncultured bacterium
Lineage: Bacteria
Description: partial 16S ribosomal RNA
Rfam family: Bacterial small subunit ribosomal RNA
Source: RNAcentral